AGGUUAAGUCAGUUGUGAAAGUUUGCGGCUCAACCGUAAAAUUGCAGUUGAUACUGGCCUGCUUGAGUGCGGCAGAGGCAGGCGGAAUUUGUGGUGUAGCGGUGAAAUGCUUAGAUAUCACGAAGAACUCCGAUUGCGAAGGCAGCUUGCUGGAGCGUAACUGACGCUGAUGCUCGAAAGUGCGGGUAUCAAACAGGAUCAGAUACCCUGGUAGUCCGCACAGUAAACGAUGGACACUCGCUGUUGGCGAUACACGGUCAGCGGCUUAGCGAAAGCGUUAAGUGUCCCACCUGGGGAGUACGCCGGCAACGGUGAAACUCAAAGGAAUUGACGGGGGCCCGCACAAGCGGAGGAACAUGUGGUUUAAUUCGAUGAUACGCGAGGAACCUUACCCGGGCUUGAAUUGCACUGGACUGUAGUGGAAACAUUACUUUCUUCGGACCAGUGUGAAGGUGCUGCAUGGUUGUCGUCAGCUCGUGCCGUGAGGUGUCGGCUUAAGUGCCAUAACGAGCGCAACCCCUGUUUCCAGUUGCUAGCAGGUCAAGCUGUGGACUCUGGAGAGACUGCCGUCGUAAGAUGCGAGGAAGGCGGGGAUGACGUCAAAUCAGCACGGCCCUUACGUCCGGGGCUACACACGUGUUACAAUGGGGGGUACAGCAGGCCGCUACCUGGUGACAGGAUGCCAAUCCGUAAAGCCCCUCUCAGUUCGGACUGGAGUCUGCAACCCGACUCCACGAAGCUGGAUUCGCUAGUAAUCGCGCA
Molecule: ribosomal RNA, 762 nt
Filed under: uncultured Bacteroidota bacterium
Lineage: Bacteria; Pseudomonadati; Bacteroidota
Description: bacterial SSU rRNA
Rfam family: Bacterial small subunit ribosomal RNA
Source: RNAcentral